CGUUAAGAGCUCGUAACAAUUGUUCGAUGCUUAACUGUUGUUCGGUCUUGUGUAAUUAAUUAGAAAUCUAACUUUUAAUAUAACUCCAUUAAUAUUAUUCUUUCAAUUUUUUAUUUUCUUUUUUCUUUUUUUUUUUUUUUUACAUAAUACACUUUACUCAGUUAUUUCAAUUCCACCGUUUCUCAUCGUAGUCAGUUAUUGAUAGGAUUUCCAAGAAAUAUGAUGGAUCCUCGAAAUGGCGUCAGAGAGGAUAUUGACGAGAGUGAUAUUUCGAAAGUCGAUGGAACAUCGCCGGAGCGAGAGUCAUACGUUAUAGGGGCAAAUUCCAGAAAUAAGAGAGACAAUUUGCUAUAUGACUUCCGCGGAAUAAAACGUAACGAGGGUGACAUUUGUCGAAGGAGGAUCAUUUGAACUGGCUAUUACAGAAACGGAAUGAAACAAUGUGGACUAUAUCGUAUGGUCUGGCUUUCCCUUUGGGAAGAAGGAAAUGUCAGUUCUUGUCUAGUCGAGUCUUUGAAAGAAAGAAGAAGAAGAAGAAGAAGGAGAAGAAAAAGAAGUGGAAGAAUAAAGAAAGAAAGGCUUAACAUUUCUCGUAAAAAGUAUAAUUUUGGAAUUAGAGAAAAGACAACAAGAAGGAUGAAGUAUCGAGAUCUAGAAAUAAUUAGAGUAAAAGAAGUUGUGUGUGAAGGAUAUACAUGACGAACACACGUUUCUCGGUUAAUAAAACCUUGAUCGAGCAUCGACGAUCUAUGUCGAAAGAGAAAAAGAGAUAGAUAGAUAGAUAGAUAGAUAGAUAGAUAGAUAGAUAGAUAGAGAUAAAGAAAGAGCUGUGUGAAAUUUGAGCUCAGUGAAGUGCAGUGGCCUUCGAUCCUAUAUAUUUCGCUGUUCGUCGAUAAAGAGAAAGAGAGACAUAAAGAGAGAAAGAGAAAGAGAAAGAGAGAGAGAGAGAGACUCGUUGAGGCUCGACGUUCGACAAUGGGCAAUUUUCUCUGACCGGACGAGAAGUUUCGUGGUCAGCCUCUACUACGAUUAGAUAGGAGCCAGGGUAAUGGCGGGAGGUUCAAUCUGCAUUCGUAAUGACGAACGUGGAAGGUGACACAGUGUCUGACCUCGGUGCAGUGACAUCGGCCAUCUAUUAACCCCUAGAGCCAUACGCCUGCUCUCGGUUCUCUGUCAUGGAGAGGAAGAGAGGAUGAGAGAGUUAGAGAACGAGAGAGACAGAGAGAGAGAGAGAGAGAGAGAGAGAGAGAGAGAGAGAGAGAGAGAGAGAGAGAGAGAGAGAGAGAGAGUAUCAACCAGUUGGUCCUCCCUUUGUCAUCCUGCUAAUGAUCUCUUCGAACAUUGCCAGCAUCCUAUUAUUCUUAUCAUCAUUUCACUUUUGAUGGAAUUCCAGAUUCUUCAAAAAAUGUUUAAGCAUUCUUCUUCAACAAUCUUUCAACUUUCUACAAUUCCAACAAUGAUGAUAUAACUCAGUAGUAGAACUUACAUACCAGAUCUUGUUUAUAGUUAACUUAAAUAGUAACCUUUGAAUACGAACAAACAAUUUAUAAUUAUGAUGGAAAAGAUGAAAGUAAGAUUGUAAAAAUACAGAUGUAUGAGAACGUGUAUGCUUUCAGAACGCUUUACGAGGAACGUUCGAGAGGAUUGCUUGAAAGUUUUAGGCCGCAGAGUAAAUACAUGCUAUGCGACUCGAUGCAGUGUACACUAAUGACGAAUAAGAGCAAAGUUUCACUGUGGCUUCGUGGGAGUGGUAAUGGUGGCCUUCCUCUUACCCUCCCUCUCUCCCUCUUCUUCCCAUUCACCCUCCCCCUCCUCCUCCUCCCCCUGCCCCCUUUCAACCCGUGUGGAAUUCCAUAGCUAAUCUUAAGCAGAAUUAGCUUUCCAGUACUCGAUUGGAAACCACUGUAAUCACGUUUGCAUCACUGGAUUUAAUUCCGUAAACGAGAUUUUACCCGUUAUCCAUGAUCAUGAGAUGCAUGAGGUCAAACAGAGAUAUCAAUGAAUUAUUAUUCUUGCGGUUACCAUUGGCAUUCUGGUAGAUCGAUUUUGGUAUCAUGCAAACAAUUUAUUAUCAAUCGACGAUUGGACAUAUGCAUAUUGAAUGAUGAAUACCUAAUCCAGGCAUCAUCGGAUUCCUGUUACACGAUGGAUUUAAAUCCAAGCAUAUUUCGUGUUGACCUAGCCAAUAGAAAAUAGUUUUGGUCGAUAGUGAGAAGGGACAAACAACGUUCAAGGUACCAAGCGUCGUUUGGGGUUGCUUGGUUGGCGAUACGCCACGCAUCAUUUGCCUCGAGAGUUAAUGCAGUAGCCAGACUCGCCGCUAGCCUACAAGAUUAGAAAGUAUAAUGCUUAUGUUUUAUAGAUUCGAGAAGCCAGUUUUCAGACGAAGAAAUUUAUAUAGCUAUCUACGACAGAUGCGAAAGUGGACACAUGUGCAUACCAGUUAUGCGCUUUGAGCGAUCCUGAGAAUCCCACAGGAUCCCAGUGGUGGUUUCGAAGCUUCCCGCACUUACUAUCGAGAAUGCACUUUUCUUGUUUCGCACUUAAGACGAGUUUCUGGAUGCGAGAGCUAGCGUUACUUUCAAUAUGAACGCAUAUCGCCGUGAGCGGUCUCUUGCAUUACCUACAUACGUUAUUAAAAGUCUAUAAUCGUGUUAUUUCUUUACGAUAAUAAUUAUAUCAACUUUGUCGAACGUUUUCAGAUAUUGAAUUGUGCAGAAGUAGUCGAAUGGGAGUCAACCGAUUCGAUUUGAAUCGAAUGUAAAUGUAGGAACGAUCAGCUUAUAUGAAUUUCGAUCGUAUUGGUCCAGCUCGAGGAGUUUUACGUUUAGAGAGAGAGAGAGAGAGAGAGAGAGAGAGGGAGAGAGAGGGAGAGAGAAGAGAAACGAUUUCAUGCUAGCGAUUUCAAACUACCUAGGAACUGUAAUUUUACAAAGUGACGUACCAACACUCGACGAUGUACGCCAGUGGAUGAAGGGAUCGGAGCAAGGGUGCACACUGCACAACCCUCAUCAGCAACGGUAUUGCCGCGAUAGCGGAGCUACUCGUCAAAUAUUUACUUUAGAGGAUGCUGGUGCCAGGCAACGGGAGUAUCUCAGUUGUCGAGCAGGAGGAAGGAAGAGAAAGGAAGAGGACGUUGUUAGAGAGUCCGAUGCGGUGCUAUACAUAUAGUUUUGUAAAAAUAUUUAACCAUCCGAUAUUUUAUUAUUAAGAUUUUGUUUUUUGAAAUUUUCAUGUAGAUUAUUAUCAUAGAUUUCUCUUUGAUUUCUAUUGUCGUUUAUAAUAAGAAAGCUAUGGAAAUAGGAAUAUUGUUCUAAAAGACUAGAAAGACCUUGAGAGCUUGCUGGAUAACCGGAUAUUAAAUAUUCAGAAACUAU
Molecule: long non-coding RNA, 3377 nt
Organism: Vespula vulgaris
Lineage: Eukaryota; Metazoa; Arthropoda; Insecta; Hymenoptera; Vespidae
Exons: 4
Source: RefSeq, a predicted model, not a curated record